RNAcentral lists this ribosomal RNA (476 nucleotides) under uncultured kinetoplastid. Its description in RNAcentral is "bacterial SSU rRNA". It matches the Rfam family "Eukaryotic small subunit ribosomal RNA", at positions 615 to 991 of the family's 1831-position model. Lineage: Eukaryota; Euglenozoa; Kinetoplastea. The record is from RNAcentral.
GCUGUUAAGGGUUCGUAGUUGAAUGCGGAGUAAAGGGAUACUUGUUCGCAAGACCUCCCUGCUCUGUUUAGACGGGAUUGGAUGCCAUGCGGAAGACACUAUUAAUUUAGUGUUGGAAGCGCCUACCGAAGAGGUAAGCACUACGCAUGCAACGCAUGCACUUGGCCGCCCGUCGUUUUACUGUGAGUAAAACAGCGUGUUCAAGGCAGCCUUCGGCUGAAUGACAAAGCAUGGAAUACAGGGUGGGUUAAUCUUUUGUUGGUUUUUAAGAUCCAUUUGGAUAAUUUGUGGGCAAGUGAUUCAUGCAUUCCUCUGGCUUGCCUUUGGUUUGCACUGGACCGUUGCCGAACACGGGUUAAUGGGGGUUGUCGGGGGAAAACGUAUCGGAGCGUGAGAGGUGAAAUUCUUAGACCGCUCUGGGCGAACUUAUGCGAAGGCAUUUUCCAAGUAUACCUUCAUCAAUCAAGAACUAAGUG